UUGGAUUUCUGGUUGGAGCGACCGGUCGGGCAUUGAUUUGUCUGCACUGGAGUCGGUUCUGGCCAUCCUCUUGGAAAGUGCGUCUGUCAUUAAGUUGUCGGGCGUAUGAUCCAGGUCGUUUACUGUGAAAAAAUUAGAGUGUUUAAAGCAGGCCUUCGCCUUGAAUACAUUAGCAUGGAAUAAUAAGAUAGGACUUUGGUCUAUUUUGUUGGUUUGCAGACCGAAGUAAUGAUUAAUAGGGAUAGUUGGGGGUAUUUAUAUUCCAAUGUCAGAGGUGAAAUUCUUAGAUUUUUGGAAGAUAAACUUAUGCGAAAGCAUUUACCAAGGAUGUUUCCAUUAAUCAAGAACGAAAGUUAGGGGAUCGAAGAUGAUUAGAUACCAUCGUAGUCUUAACCAUAAACUAUGCCGACUCA
This 413-nucleotide ribosomal RNA is filed under the name uncultured eukaryote. RNAcentral describes it as "SSU rRNA". It matches the Rfam family "Eukaryotic small subunit ribosomal RNA", at positions 634 to 1049 of the family's 1831-position model. The record is from RNAcentral.